This 497-nucleotide ribosomal RNA is filed under the name uncultured bacterium. RNAcentral describes it as "partial 16S ribosomal RNA". It matches the Rfam family "Bacterial small subunit ribosomal RNA", at positions 28 to 507 of the family's 1533-position model. The record is from RNAcentral.
GAUGAACGCUGGCGGCGUGCCUAAUACAUGCAAGUCGAGCUAACAGACGAGGAGCUUGCUCCUCUGACGUUAGCGGCGGACGGGUGAGUAACACGUGGAUAACCUACCUAUAAGACUGGGAUAACUUCGGGAAACCGGAGCUAAUACCGGAUAAUAUAUUGAACCGCAUGGUUCAAUAGUGAAAGACGGUUUUGCUGUCACUUAUAGAUGGAUCCGCGCCGCAUUAGCUAGUUGGUAAGGUAACGGCUUACCAAGGCAACGAUGCGUAGCCGACCUGAGAGGGUGAUCGGCCACACUGGAACUGAGACACGGUCCAGGCUCCUACGGGAGGCAGCAGUAGGGAAUCUUCCGCAAUGGGCGAAAGCUUGACGGAGCAACGCCGCGUGAGUGAUGAAGGUCUUCGGAUCGUAAAACUCUGUUAUUAGGGAAGAACAAAUGUGUAAGUAACUAUGCACGUCUUGACGGUACCUAAUCAGAAAGCCACGGCUAACUACGUG